GUGUAACAGCGAGAUAUCGGCCAAGAGUAAGCAUAUAUUCAAAACUAAAUUAAGUAUCCUUUUCAUCUUUUCAGGAGUCCCAUCAAAUUUUAGUCACAAAAUUAAAGGGGAAAAGGAAAAAGGAAGGAGCAGAAUGAUGGAGUAGAAGAGUCCACUGAUCACCGUCCCCUGCCGACAAGGACACCAAUUUAACAACUAUCUACACAGAAGAAAGAAAGAAAGAAAAAAAAAAAACACCUUCAUGAGAACCAGAACCAAAAAUCAGAUGAGCACUCAUAGUAGCUGGUUCUAACUUCACAAUGUUGAAAGAGGCACUGAAGAGAUAGAAAAAACACUGAAAUGCCUAUGCCACCCUGCCCCCACCCCCACCCUCCUGCAGUGGCAGCAUGGGACAGAGAGCGUCUCUGCGCCCUGGAGAAGAGAGAACACAGUAAUUGUGAGGCAAUGAACUCAGUGCUGUCCUGGUAGAUCAGAAAGGAAAUCUGGACCAAACUCAGCUAAUGCCCAUCCACAGAGGGAGGAUUUAAACCAGCCCUAACCAGAGGGAAAUUACCUAUCCCAGCUACCUGAACUUGAGUUCCUGAAAACCUCCCCUCCAAAGGCUACAGUGCUCUGUGUCUCCAAGUAAACUUGAAAGGCAGUCUAGGCCAUAAGAACUGCAACCCUUAGGUGAGUCCUAGUGCUGAACUAGGCCCAGAGACAGUGGACUAGGGCACACGUCACAUACUGAGAUAUAAGCUGGGGCCACCAAGGGAAUGCUGGCAUUAUCCCUUCCCUAACCCCAGGCUGCACAGCUUGUGGCUCUAAAAGAGACCCCUUUCUUCCUCUAGAGAAGAGGACAGGGAAGAACUUUGUCUUGCAUAUUGGAUACCAGCUCAACCACAGCAGGAUAGGACACCAGUCAGGGUCAUGAGGAAGCAGUUCCAGGCCCUAGCUCCCAGGUGCCAUUUCUAGACACAUGUGCUGCCUUAAAGGAAAGGAGUCAGUCUUGACAGCAUUCAACAGCUGCUAAUUGAAGAACCCCUGGACCCUCAACAACCAGCCUGGAUACCCAGAUACUAUGUCAAGGGUCUUGGGACCUGACCCUUAGAUGGCAUUUCUGGACCUGCCCUGAAGCAGAGGGGAUCCCACUACCCUGAAGACCUUUUGGGAACUUAUUUGCAAAGAAGUCCCCGCCAUAAAGAUCUAUAAUCUUUUCAACAACCUAUUUGGGAAAAUGCAUGAUAGGGCCGUGAAAAACAUUAUGUUCUAAGACAAAGGCCUAAUAUUAUCAUGAGCAGCCUAGAGUGACGGAGAGAACACUAAAUGCUGACUGGGUGCUGUUUUCAAUGUGAUCAUCAAGUGGCCAUGUGACCUUCAAUGGAUGCCAGCUUUCCAUGAGGCUUCAACUCCUCAUUAACGAAAGAGCAAAAUAAUACUUACCUCAACUUCUUUCUAGGGCUAUAGAGAAAAAAAAAAUGUUUAGAAAGAAUGUAAUAUUUUAAGAGAGCAUAUUGUUCUUUAUUGCCAUAAUAAAAGUAAUCAUAAUCUACAUUAUGAGGAUCACCUUGGUAUAGUAUUAAGCAUGACACUGAGAAACAGGCGAUGAGAGUUUCAGUUAUGCCUUCUGAAUUUAUUAUUGGUUGACCUUGGAAAAGCUCCUUAACUUCUCUGCAUCUCUUUUGCUGCUUUUGUAAAAAGCAAAUGAAAAGACAACACAUUAAUCAUGGCAGGAAACUGGAAAUUACAAUCUUUCCAGGUUAAAACCACAUGUUUUGAAGUAAAAUCUUUUAGUCUAAAAUUUUUUAAGAUAAUGGAUAAUGAAUUUUCAAUAAUAAUAAUAGCAUAUUCUCAAUAAUAAUAAUACUUAAAUAUAUUGAACUUCUACAUCAUUUAGGAAAUAUGCUACUUUAUAUGUAUGUUAUUUAGUCUUCAGAAAAAAACACUCUGAGAGAUAUUAUUUUUGUCAUUUCACCACUAAGGAAUCUGAAUUUGAAAGGUUAAGUAACCUUAUCAAACUCAUAGAGAGACUAGCAAUAAGUUUGAGAUUUAAAUACAGUAUGAUUCUAAAGCACAGGUUUUGAACCAUCAUGUUCCAAUAUUCUCAAUAUAAUAUAAUAGCUCUGGGUAUGAAUAAACAGUUUCAGUUUGAGUCUGUAAAAGAUCAGUGGUAAUUCAAGAACAAAAACAAUUUAGUCUUUAAAAGACACAACAGUUGUGCCCUACUUGAAAUUUUACCUCUCUUUAUACUUUAUUUACACUGUGCCCAGCAUAUAGGAGCUGGAUGUUUUAUACUUGAAACAGGGUUAAUAGCACCUGGUUAUAUGAUUUGACAGUCAGCUUAUAUGUCCAUUCACCUCACUUGAGACUUCUAGACCACACUGCCAAAAUAUCCAUUUUAGUUCUGAGAAAAAAUAUAUUAGAGAACUGUGGAGAGAGGGAACCAAAGUUAGUUUAGGCAUGAAAUUGUUCUGAGCUGAGAAUUUUGCCCCUAGGAAUUUUAAGCAAAUAUGGAUCCACUUCUCCAUGAAUUAGAAACAUUUGUAGUUUCCUACAUAGUGCAGACGUGAGGAUUUCUUUUAUUCUUUUGUUCUUUAUUCUUUAAUUAGAAGAAUUAAAUUGAAUGGUUCCUGCGAGACUUAUGGCAGAUUGUACUUUCCAAUAUAGCUACAACAAUAUUUCCCAACACUUACGCUCAACUGCAAUGUAAUCUUGUCUUUUGGAAACUGCAGAGGAUUGGAAAAUGGGCAGAAAAACAGUUGUAUAUAUUACAUGUCACAUGUUACAUGUUACAUGAUUCAGUCAUUGGGUGAGGUGACAGCAGAUCACAAUUUAUUUUUUCCUUAGCACUUUGAGACCUGACUCUACCUCUAAAAACAUUUAUUCAUAGAACAAGCAAAGCAACCAUAGAGAACUGACUACAGCCAAGAGUUGUUCUAAGAAGGGUAUUAAAAAGUCUUCACCUCCUACAUUCAGCUGGAGCAAGAACAAGGACAUUUUCUACUUUGGAAAUAGGAGCAAGGGUUCUGAGGGAAGAGCAACUGGUGCCAUUGGUCUCUGGCUUGUCCACUAGCUCAAAUUGUAGGUUUUCCUCCUUUUUACAUUUAAUGUCUAUGGGUUGAAAAAUAAACAACUUAGUUCAGCUAUGUGGAUCGGCUAAAAAAAAUAAUGAAAGACCAUAAUUAAAAAUGUACUGAAGUUACUUUAGAAAACAUUCAGCAGCAGUUGCCUAGAUUUUACUUUUUGCUGCACCUAUUUUUUUCUCAGAUAGAAGUGUAUACUCACAUCUAACAAAUAGCUUUUUGACAUUUUUGUUAACCGGUCACUGUACUAGAUGGCAAUGAGUGAAUCAGGAAGAUCUUCCCUACCCUCAUGUGGCUGACAUUCUAGUAGAAAACAUAAACAUAACAUUAAAUUACAUUGCAAGAAGUAUUUGGAAGUAAGCACUGAGUUCUCUAAGAGUAUAAAACAGGAAGCCAUAACCUAAAAUUGAGUUUGGAGGGCCAUUUUUUUUUAAUGACAGUGAUAUGUAAUCAGAGACAAAGAAGAUGAGUAACCAUUGACAGGGUCAGGUUGAGAGGAGGACCACAAUAAUUUCUGUCAGUGGGAAGAACAAGUAAAAAGUUCUUGCAGUGGUGGGGAGCAUGACACAUUCGAGCUAAUGAAAAUUAUUCAAUGGUUCUAUGAGGCAGAAAGCCAGAGGAAAUGAUCAGAAAUGAAUGUAGAGAGGGAGGGAGGAUCAUAUGCAGGGAUAUUUAGGCUUUGUUAAGAGUUCUGCACUUUAUCCAAAAUACAUGGAGAACCCAUUAAAGAGUUUUAAAAUGAAGAAGAGUAAAACGGGAUUUGGUGUGUGUUUGUUUGCUUUGUUUUGAAAGACCAUUGCAGCUAUGUUGUGGAUAAUGGAUUGGGGGAGGUAAGAGAAAAUGCUCCUAAACCACGAUGUUAGUUAGGAGGUUUGGUAGAACAGUUAAGCAAAGAGGUAAUGGUGGCUUUGAUUAGGAUGGAGAAAAGAUAAUAGAUGCUAAAGUAUAUUUAGGAAGUAGAUUUAAAACGACUUAACAAUGAAUUGAAUGAGGAGUGAGAGUUAUUUUGGCAACAAAGAUAAAUCCAGAUUAUUGGCAUGAAUGUUGAUGUCUUUUCAAAAUAUCAAGAAAUGUUUUGUGUUAUUGGGUUUGAAAUAACUAAAGACAUCUAAGUAGAGAUUGUGAUAAAUCAGUAGAUAGGGGCCAGCAGUAUAUUUUACACCAGAGGAAAAGUUGGGCAUGAAAAAUAAAAUCUGAAGAGGGCUUGAAACAAAAGCUUAUGGAUGCACAUAUAAAUGUAUAUGUGUAUAUGUUCGCACAUAUGUAUUUCCCAUAUGAUUGUUGUAAUAAAGUUCUCACAAAAAAUACCUAUUUGUUAUUUGCUUUCUAUAUAAUUCCUUUUAAUGAUUGGAGAUUUUUUUAAAGACUAAGUUGUGAGUGACUCUUAGAGAUCAUAAGGACAAGUCUUUUAUGAACUAUAGAAACUCCUCUUGUAAUAAUCUUGGGAGGUGCUGGUUAAGCAUCUGUUUCCAUAUUCCAGAUAACAGGAAACUCACUACAUUAGGGAAUGGGCUAGUUCAUUAUGGAAUGCUUCACUGGAGGGAUAAAAUCAUUUCUUACAUACAUGGGUCAUAGUUUUUUUGUAUAAAACACCAUUAAAUAGAAACUUCUCUAUUUUUAUGAUACCUUUUCAAACACUAUGACUGGUGUUGUGCAUGUCC
Molecule: long non-coding RNA, 4723 nt
Organism: Pan troglodytes (chimpanzee)
Lineage: Eukaryota; Metazoa; Chordata; Mammalia; Primates; Hominidae
Exons: 3
Source: RefSeq, a predicted model, not a curated record